RNAcentral lists this transfer RNA (86 nucleotides) under Dinophyceae sp. TGD. Its description in RNAcentral is "tRNA-Ser". It matches the Rfam family "tRNA". From Rfam's summary of the family: Transfer RNA (tRNA) molecules are approximately 80 nucleotides in length. Lineage: Eukaryota; Dinophyceae. The record is from RNAcentral.
AGAAAGGUGACUGAGUGGUUGAAAGUGCUGAUCUGGAACAUCAGUUUUGGUAAAAACAAACGAGGGUUCGAAUCCCUCUCUUUCUA